RNAcentral lists this long non-coding RNA (8149 nucleotides) under Nicotiana benthamiana. RNAcentral's name for it is "long non-coding RNA (NBEN_LNC028402)". The record is from RNAcentral. Lineage: Eukaryota; Viridiplantae; Streptophyta; Magnoliopsida; Solanales; Solanaceae.
CUUGUGUCAGUGUAUGGAAACAUGAUCGUGUUGAGAUUAUUGCCAAUGAUCAAGGGAAUAGGACGACGUCGUCUUAUAUUGGAUUUACUGAUUCUGAACAUCUCAUUGGUGAUGCCGCUAAGAAUCAAGUCGCCAUGAUUCCUAUUAACAUUGUUUUUGGUAAGUUUUAAGCUCAGAUCUGUUGUUAAAUCUUAAUUUUUUUGUGGUUUGUGAUUUUAGCUUGUUUCGUUGUUUAAUGGUAGAGUUGUUGUUAGAUCUAGUGUGAAUAUUGACCUAUUGCAUAAUGCCCUUGUUUCUGUUAAUAGUAGUUGAAUGGAUGUAGUAGUAAUUGUUUUGGUAAAUAGUGUUAAUACGUAUUACCUUCUCGGUUGAUGAAGGUAACUGUUUUAGAAUUGUGUUUGUUAUGAAUUAUUUCUAACCAAUUGUUGAUUUAGGACUUUGAGCCACUUGUAGCGAAGUACUACUAGCACAGCUAUCGUCUAUCUAUAUAUGAGUUAAUCUAGACAUUUAGUUGAAUGCUAUCGAUGCCCAAUGUCUUAAUUCAUAUGCCAAUGGCUUAUUCGUAAUUUCAUGUUCAUGUUUGCUAGCCAUAUCGGGACUGUGCACAUAUUACCCUUCCCAUACCCCACCUUGUGAGACUAUACUGGGUAGUUGUAGUGGUUGUUGUUGUUGUUAUUUGCUAGCCAUAUCCAUAUUAACAAAGGCAAAUGCUGAAUUUAAUCUAUAUAUGAGUUAAUCUAGAUAUUUAGUUGAAUGCCAUCGGUGCCCUAUGUCUUAAUUCAUAUGCCAAUGGCUUAUUCGUAAUUUUUUGUUCAUGUUUGCUAGCCAUAGACGUAUUAACAAAGGCAAAUUCUGGAUUUAAGCUUCAUGGUUUAAACCUUAAGGUUCUUAUCAUUGAACCUAUUAUAUUUUCAAAGCUAGGGGUUCAUAUCUACUACUUAUUGCAAUCUAAUCUAAUUUGUUGUGUCCUGGCACGUUCAUACUGCAUUCUCCCCUGGUCAUUUAGGUUGUUCCACCAAAAUAUCUGACUUAAUAAGGAUUUUUUUGACUGCUACUUGUUUAAUAUUCAUGCUGCUAUCAUUGAUUCUUAAUGUUUUCCUGAAUUUAAUCGUCUUUGGAUGUUAUGUUACGUUUUGUGCUAUAGUUGCCAUUCAAGCAUAGCGUGUGUUGUUUUUUUAAGGAGGGGGGAUUUAACUUCUGAAUUAAAUAGUUUUGAAGUAAAGAUUGCAUGUGAUUGAAUCAAUGCUUUCUAUGGUUUUUCCAAUGGAAGAUGCCAAAAGGCUUAUUGGAAGGAGGUUAAGUGAUGCCUUUAUACAGAGUGACAUCAAAUUGUGGCCUUAAAAGGUUAUUUUCGAGCCUGGUGACAAGCCAAUGAUUGUUGUCAACUGCAAGGGUGAAGAGAAGCAGUUUGCUGCUGAAAAAAUCUCUUCCAUGGUGCUUAUAAAGAUGAAGGAAAUUGCCGAGGCCUUCCUUGGAUCAACUGUGAAAAAUGUUGUGGUUAUUGUACCUGCAUACUUCAAUGACUCACAAUGUAAACCAACUAAGGAUGCUGGUGUCAUAUCUGGCUUGAAUGUCAUGCGUAUUAUUAAUGAGCCCACAGCAGCGGCCAUUGCAUAUGGUUUUGACAAGAAAGCAACAAGUGUUGGUGAGAAGAACAUUCUUAUCUUUGAUCUAGGUGAUGGUACUUUCGAUGUGUCCCUCCUUACCAUUGAAGAAGGUAUUUUUGAAGUGAAAGCUACAACAGGAGACACUCACCUUGGAGGUGAAGAUUUUGAUAACAGAAUGGUGAACCAUUUGUCCAGGAGUUCAAAAGAAAGCACAAGAAGGACAUUACUGGUAACCCAAGAGUCCUUAGAAGAUUGAGGACAGCAUGUGAGAGGGCGAAGAGAACUCUUUCUUCCACUACCCAGACAACAAUUGAAGUUGAUUCCUUGUAUGAGGGUGUUGAAUUCUAUUCCAUAAUUACUCGUGCUAGAUUUGAGGAGUUGAACAUGGAUCCUUUCAGGAAGUGUAUGGAGUCAGUUGAGAAAUGUUUGCGGGACGCCAAGAUGGAAAAAUAUUGUACAUUAUAUUGUUCUUAUUGGUGGAUCUAGUAGAAAUUCCCAAGGUACAACAGCUGUUGCAAAACUUCUUUAAUGGCAAGGAGCUUUGCAAGAGCAUCAACCCAGAUGAGGUUGUUGCGUAUGGUGCAGCUGUGCAAGCUAGCCAUUCUAAGCGGAGAGUGUAACGAGAAGGUUCAAGACUUGUUGCUUUUGGAUGUCACCCCUCUAUAUCUUGGGUUGGAAACUGCUGGAUGAGUGAUGAUUGACUUGAUUUGAAGGAAUACCACUAUUCCUACCAAGAAAUAGCAAGUGUUCUCUACAUAUUCUGACAACCAACCUGGAGUGUUGAUUCAGGUGUACAAGGGUGAGAGAGAAAGAACUAGAGACAACAACUUGCUGGAUAAAUUUGAGCUUUUUAGUAUCCCUCCUGCACCUAGGGUUGUGCCUCAGAUCACAGUCUGCUUUGAUAUUGAUGCCAAUGGUAUCUUGAACAUCUCUGCUGAAGACAAGACCACUGGACAAAAGAACAAAAUCACUAUUACCAAUGACAAGGGUAGGUUGUCAAAGGAAGAAAUUGAAAAGAUGGUCCAGGAAGCAGAGAAGUACAAGGCAGAGGAUGAAGAACACAAGAAGAAGGUAGAGGCCAAGAACGCACUGGAGAACUAUGCCUACAACAUGAGGAACACCAUAAAGGAUGAGAAGAUUGGUUCUAAGCUAAGCCCAGACGACAAAAAGAAGAUUGAGGAUGCGAUUGAUCAGGCAAUCUCAUGGCUUGUAAGAACGCACUAUACAACUAUGCCUACAAUAUGAGGAACACCAUAAAGGACGAGAAGAUUUGUUCUAAGCUAAGCCCAUAUGAGAAGAGGAAUAUUGAGGAUGCGAUUUAUCAGGCAAUCUCAUGGCUUGACAGCAACCAGCUUACUGAAGCUGACGAGUUUGAAGAUAAGAUGAAGGAGCGCGAGAGCAUCUGCAACCUCAUAAUUGCCAAGAUGUACCAAGGUGCUGGUGGUGAGUUCGAGUCUCCCCAAGAGCAAGGUGGGAAGUUCUUUGAGGGAAGGAUGUCGGGGGUCUUUCAAGUAGCUUUUUGCUAUUCAAUUUAAAAUAUCAAGUCAUCUCAUAAAACAUUUUAUAGUCAUUUUCACCUCUUUGUACUAUUAGCAUAUAUAUACCAACAAUCUGAUUCUACAUACCGAGGGGUUGCUCUGAUGAUAAGCAACCCCCACUUCUAACCGAGAGGUUGUGAGUUCGAGUCUCCCCAAGAGCAAGGUGGGAAAUUCUUUGAGGGAAGGAUGUCGGGGGUCUAUUUGGAAACAACUUCUCUAUCCUAGGGUAAGGGUAAGGUCUGCGUACAUACUAUCCUCCCCAGACCCCACUAUGUGGGAUUAUACUGGGUUGUUGUUGUUAUUGUCGUACCAAGGUGCUGGUGGUGAAGCAGGUGCAACUAUGGAUAAUGAUGCUCCUCCAACUGGUGGUAGCGGUGCAAGCCCCAAGAUUGAGGAGGUCGACUAAGUGUGUGGAGUGAUCAAUGCUUGAUUUCUGUUUUAGUACAAUACUUAUAUUGGGUACUUUUAAUACUUUUGCAAUGGUUAACUGGGUAUUAUAUUGGUUUUCUUGAGAAUUGUAUGCUGUUAAAUUUUCAUCUUUGAUGGCUUUAGAAUAGCAUCAUUGAUUUUGCGUUGUUAAUGUCUAGUUAUUAGUUGCUUUUUCGAGGAAGUAUAACACUCUAGCUAUUAUCUUAUUACAUUGAGUUUUGGAUGCAAUUUUAGCCUCAAAUUUUUGUUCUUGUUUUUUGUACCUUGAAGAUAGAAGUAUCUUGUCUCUCUGGAUCACUCGCAGAAUUCCAAUUCCACAACAUAAUAGUGAAGAUGGCUCAAGUUUGGGAUUUGUAUUCCGCAAGACUUGGAUUAGAUUUUUGUCUUAGAUGGUUAUUUUGCUAGUUAACAGGAGUGAUAAAAAGUACUUCAAUGAAGAAAUAGGUAUAUUUUUCAUGUUAAUCACAGAGAGAAAAAAAAGGAAAACGGACUAAAGGUAAACUACCUUUUGCUCACCCGUGAAAAGCAUAAUAGGUAACAAAGCUAUUUAUUGGUUUCUUUACUUCCUUACCUCGGGUAGGUUGAAUCUAAGAUGAAUAGGGUCAAAAAAUUUUGUCGGUCUUUUUAAACUUUUUCCUUAAUUUUAUGACCUUACCUUUUUUGGAUUUUUUACACGUAAGAGAUCUAAGACGGUUAUUUUUUUAAAUUAAAAAUUGUAAAGGGGAAUUAUUGAUACUCCCACUUCUGUUUACCAUUAAAAUAGAAUAACAAUUAAACUUAUAAUGUGGCUUUAAGAACACGUAACUUCACUUAAUAAAAAUUGGUAAAUGUGAAAAUUAGUAAUAGAAAUUAACAAUAAGAUAAAGCAAACUAGUGUUGUAACGUAAUUCAACCCUCAAGCUAGAGUGCCCUCAAACUGGUUAAUGCCAAAACAGUUAAGAAAUAAGUAAGCUAAUGAACAAGAAUAUAAGCUAGAGAGAAAAUGGUAUAUUAUUUUGAUAUGUGUGAACAAUGUGUGUUACAAAUGUUUAGAACCCUCUUUUGUAUAGUAGAGGAAUUUUACUUAUGGUAUAACUCUAAUAAUAGAAGAAAAUCACAUGAUUAACUAACUAACCUUUCCUGAUUUGACCCGUUCUGAGAUUAACGCCAUGAUCUUCGACCAGUCACGGAUAUCUCGCCUUUCUAUUAUUGUGUUAUCUCCGAUUUUGCUCGAUGUCUAUCUCGUUUUUCUCGAGCUCCACAGGCUUCGAUCUCGAUGGGUACAUUGAUUCUUGAACUCGGUACCUGGUUCUUGUGUUUUCGUCUGAUCCGAUAAUCCCCUCGUUUUUAGAGUAAUGACAAGAAACGAAUUGAGCCUUCUAUUUUUUACCUCGACCUGUCAUGACGUCAUCCCCGUGACAUAAGCAAAGGAAGUGACUGAUAUGUCAUGUCGAUACAGUUUCUCAAGUCAUUAAUGGGUGUCAGCUGGUGGUCAACCACUAGUGCCUUUGAACUAUCGCCGUGAAUCCCAUAAAUAGGCCCUUUUCUCAUUGAUUUUACUUUCACUUUCUUCUAAUCUCUAAAUCUUUUACAUCUCUUAAGUUCUUCCUUUCUGCAAAAUCAUUAGGGCUUAUUGCUAAUCCCCUCUCAAAAACCAAGUCCUAUUACCUUCUUCUCUCUUCAAACUCAUACCAAAAUGCCAAAAAUAUCAAAAACUGUUCCUCAAAAGAAAAACUCUUCUUCAUCAGGGGCGGCCGGUGAGCCGUGCCUUGAGUAAUGUGUUCUCGAGGGACGUGUCCUUACGUCUGACGUUAAGAUCGAGAAAACUUUAUUGUUCCCCGGUCAAUGCGAGACAAUGUCGAGGUAUAUAUGCUCAAUAACCGGAAGUCUCCUUAAGUAUGCAGAAAAAGGCUGCAGCUGGGAAGGCAAAAAUGUGGUGAUUCCAGCCCAUGAAGAAGACAUCACUACCUAUGUGGAAGGGUUUCUAAGUGUUUACACUUACCCUUUUACGCUACACCAUCUCGAUCCCGUCAUCAUCAAUUUUUUCUACAAAUAUAAAAUAACCCUAGGUCAAAUCCAUCCCUCAUUUUGGCGGAUUUUUAUUCUGCUCCGAUUCUUCAUGAGAAAAGUCAAGGGGAUUCCCUUUAGCCUCAACCGCCUCAUCAGGUGAUACAAACUUCAUCUCUAUUGAGGCGGGUUAAUAAAACUUCAGUGUCGGACUACCAAGGUGUUGUUCUCAAGCAUAAACGAGGACAUAGAUCGAGGAUGGAUGGAUUGAUUCGUUCUAGUGAAUACCUUUGACAUAAUCCCAGUCGAGAAGAUGCCAUUUCCCGAGAAAUAGAAUAUGACGCAUCAAUACAAUCCCACUUUUAGCUUUCAUUUAUUGUUUUGUUUCCUUUGUUUCUUCGUACCGAUAUCAUUUUCCAUGAUGUAGCGGUCUUUUGGAUGCCUGGUGCAAUUCCUAACCUCGAGAGCUGGAUUUGGGACCUUGCCUCGAAUUCUUUGUAUGCUGAGCUCAUGGCGAGAUUUAGCAAGGAGGCGAUAGGAGGCCAAAAAUCAUGGUAAGCCCCUUUUCAUGUAUUUAAUGUAUUUUUUGUUAAAGCGUUUUUUCAUACUCACUUAAUUCCAUUUCCUACAAGCCUUGGAAAAUAUGCUGUCAUGAGGCCCCCGUAUGGUGAGGAGGAGAGUUCGCCGUAGCCCAGAAACCGCUGAAGGAUAAAAAGAGGAAAAUGAUAUCAACCCCGAGGAUCCAAAGCCCAAGAAAAAUCCGACUCAUAAGCUGAAGAAAGACACUGUCUCCAUGCUUGCAUAGGUAUUUCAGUGGAUAAUGGAGGAAGAAAAAAGAAGAAAAUAAAGACGACAACACCAAGCUGGUAGCCCGUGUGAAGAGGAACAUCAAGGCUCCAAAAUCCUCUAAGUUAGUGAGGGUUGAAAAGAUUUCGCCUCGAACCGAGGAUCUUGGAAGAGGACCCGGGCAAAGUCCCAGAGUUGUUGGAGGCUGGAGAUGCCUCCCGCUAAAAUGAGCAAGCAGCGGCUAUGUUUGAAGGGUCCUGCUCUGAGGCCCUUCGAAAUAAAGAGAACGCCCCAAGUGACUCACUUGCAGCAAUAGUAAUUGGAGACUCGCCAAUUCUACUUGCAUUUUUUGGGGAGGCAAUUCAGGGUGCACAAGCCAUGAGGACUCCCGAUGUGGAAGGAGCCCACAGAAGGGAGGACCUCUUUCGUGGUUACAGUACCGGAUUCGAAGAUGCUACCGACCUGAGUGAAGCAUCGAGUCUCUUUGAUGCGGCUCAACAAGUACUGAUUUAGGUAACUCUCAACUCCCCUCAUCGAUAUUGCACUUGUGUUUGUUUAUUUUUUUCUUAUUUAAUUUCCUUUCCUCUUUACGCAUAGGCCUUGGCACUCCAUCAUGAGGCGUUUUCCAAAUCUCGAGCAGAGCUGAGCGAUAUGAGGACGAUAUUCAAAGACUCACAGAUGAGAGAAAUGCCCUCAAACUUCUCAGCGGGCAAAAAGAAGAGGAGAUUAAGGACCUCCGAGCCGAAUUGGCCACGACUCACCAAGAGUAGACUAACCUGAUUGAAACGUAAUAAAAAUCUUAGAAGCUCAUGGUAUCAUUUUGGAGACGAUGGCUAACAUUUAAAACUUACGGGUUCAUUAGAAGUCCGAGAGUAUCAAAUAGCUCCGUGAGGAGAAUUACAUGAUGAAGGCGGAGAACUUGGGGUGGAAACAAAACAUGGACCGCCUUGCCUUAGAGAAAGAGGCUGAUCAAGACAAAUUAUUAUCUGCCGAAAGUCAGCUUCAAGGAACCUUAGGAUUUUAUUUUUUGAUCUUUUGUGUAGGACCUUGAUCAGUCAUUGUAAAUAUCUUUAUAUAUAAAAAUACCUCUAUUCUCUUUGACUUGUUUUCAUUUCAAUUUCUGCCUUGUGUUUCAUUCAUGUCUUAUGAAAAUUUUGUUCACAAGUUCGAAGCUUAGGCAAUUUGAUUGAGGUCUGGCAAGUGUAGUAUUUACAAUCAAGUGAGUAACUGCUCAAACUUGAAGUAGGAUGAUCUUUAGGUUUUAGUUGAGUGAGGAUGCCUUCUCGAACUCAAAGAAAAAAUGGUUUUUGGGCUCUUGAAUUAGACCGAUAUGGCCUUAAAAGAAUGGCUUUUUUCCCUUUUCGGCUAAAAAAAGUUAAUCUAAUAAAAAUUUGUUAUGCCUUAGCAUGAAAUAAGGUUGUUCGAGAGUUCGAACAAUUCAGUACCCCUUAGGAUUUUUUAGGGUUGAUAUUAUCGAAACCCUUUAUAAUUUUUCCGAGAGUAGCCUUUUUAAUCGGUUUUGGAAACAUAUUAGAAGGCAUGUUUUAGCCGUAGCCUUUAACUUGGGAUUUGCCUCGUGGGCUUGUUUCUCGAUUAUACUUCAAACUCAUUAGAAGUGUCAGUACUCGAAUGGGGUAGCCGUGGCCAAUAAAAAUGAGGAUUGCCUUUUCAAGGUCUUAAUCUCAAGACUUUUAUAAUUCGACGUUGAUUUUUUAGACAACAGCCCCUGAGUGUGGAGUAAGUUGUUUUAACUUCAGUUAUGAUAGGCCCUUAAGCCUGUUUUCACAAUAGACCAAAAUUAUG